UACGUAGGGGGCAAGCGUUGUCCGGAAUCAUUGGGCGUAAAGAGCGUGUAGGCGGUUCGGUAAGUCGGCUGUGAAAGUCCAGGGCUCAACCCUGGGAUGCCGGUCGAUACUGCCGGACUAGAGUUCGGAAGAGGCGAGUGGAAUUCCCGGUGUAGCGGUGAAAUGCGCAGAUAUCGGGAGGAACACCUAUGGCGAAGGCAGCUCGCUGGGACGUUACUGACGCUGAGACGCGAAAGCGCGGGGAGCAAACAGG
RNAcentral lists this ribosomal RNA (253 nucleotides) under uncultured bacterium. RNAcentral's name for it is "partial 16S ribosomal RNA". It matches the Rfam family "Bacterial small subunit ribosomal RNA", at positions 524 to 776 of the family's 1533-position model. The record is from RNAcentral.